RNAcentral lists this long non-coding RNA (532 nucleotides) under Androctonus crassicauda. Lineage: Eukaryota; Metazoa; Arthropoda; Arachnida; Scorpiones; Buthidae. The record is from RNAcentral.
GAGUGACAAAAAUCAUCAAAGUUCAGUGUAACUCCAUAAAGUCCUCAUAUCCUAGAAACUAUUUUAGAUAGAAAAAUCCAGACUUUUUCAGAAAAAUGUACUUUUUAGAGAAAUUAAACUACAUCAAUAGUUUUUUGCAAAAGUCAUACAUGAUUACAGAUUUUGUACUUUGAAUUUUUUGCCCCAUGAAAGCGAAUUAUGGAUGCGAAAAAAUAUUACUUAGAUUUGUUUAAAAAACUACUUAACAAAAUAGAGAUAAGACUCCCCAAUUUUUGGAAGUCUGUCAACAAGUCACAGCUCCUACGAACUUGCAUAGGAACUGGGCAUAGUAACGCCUGACAUUUAUUAGUGGUUGUAUGUCAGUUGCCUUCUUGCGAUUCACAUGUUUUAAACAAAAAUGCAUCAGGCUAUUGCAUUGCUACAGUCUUCGAUGCUGAGCGUAAUCUCUCGACGCAUGGCAAGCACAGAUUAGUAACAUACAGAUGCCAAACUCUGUAUACUGUUAAUGGAAAUUGUUUUGAAAUCACGUGAU